UGACAGACUUCCGAGUCGAAACGUGGAGUGAAGAGUAGACAAUGUGGCGCCGGAGCUUUAGCACGACGCCUGGUCAAUUGACUAAGAAGAAAUGGGACGCGUUAGUGAUCGGCGGCGGCCACAACGGUUUGGUAGCUGCAGCUUACCUAGCGCGCGGCGGUCUCUCCGUCGCAGUUCUCGAGCGACGCCACGUCAUCGGCGGGGCGGCAGUGACGGAGGAGAUCGUCCCCGGCUUCAAAUUCUCGCGUUGCAGUUACGUCCAGGGGCUAAUCCGUCCAUGCAUCAUCAGGUUUUUCAAACUCUUGAAAAACUUCUUUCGAUUUCUAGCUAAUUGGCGCGUUCUCUCUGAUCAUGGAUUGUGAUGGAUUCAGUGAUUUGGAGUUAGGCAGACACGGGCUGAAGCUUCUGAAGAGGAGUCCUGCGUCGUUUACGCCUUGUUUGGAUGGGCGUUAUCUUCUUCUAGGCCCAGAUCAGGCGCUUAAUCACUCUGAGAUUUCCAAGUUCUCGAGAAGUGAUGCUGAAGCUUACCCAAGGUGAUCUUGUUUUGGGCGUAAAUAGGAUAAUUUAAUUUCACUAGAACUUUUUUUUAUUUGGAUUUGCAGAUACGAGAAGCAGCUAGAGAGGUUUGGUAGAUUCAUGGAUACUCUCUUGGAUGCAGCUCCUCCAGAGUCUCUGCAAGGUGACUCUUCUUUUAAUGAUAAGCUGAGCAAUAAGUUGCACAAAUCUGCUUUCUGGGCUCGGUGUCUUCGGCAAGCAGCUUCUUUGGGGCAAAAGGAUAUGGUGUAUGAUUUCUUUUAUCUCUUUAUGUGCUUUGUUGAAAGCAUCCAUUGUUGAUUAAAUGUCUCCUCUUUGAUGCACUUGUGUUUUUAUGUUGUGAAGGGACUUCAUGGAUCUUCUGUUGGCCCCAGCUUCAAAAGUAUUGAACAACUGGUUUGAGGUGGGUUUCUGACCAUAGCAUGUCGUGGUCCUACGACUAGCUAUUAGUAAUGGUAAUUUCUGAUGUUAGUCGGUUUUUUGUUGGUCUGAUGCUUGCAGUCUGAUGUCCUGAAGGCGACUCUUGCAACCGAUGCUGUGAUUGGGUCUACGGUAAUUGGCUUUCCUAAUUUAGAUCUUGAGCUUUGAGGUUUCAAGGUUUUCUUGAAAUGGAGUCGUUUUGUGAUUUAUUAUUUUUAAUCUAAUGGAACGAGGGAAAGGUGAGAGAGAUGCUUCUUUACGUUUAUAUUGGGGAGUUAAUGUAGUGCUCUGAACAUUGAUUGACAGGCCAGUGUUCACACUCCUGGAAGUGGAUAUGUCUUGCUACAUCAUGUGAUGGGAGAAUCAGAUGGAGAGCAUGGCAUUUGGUCGUAAGUAUUCGAAAUAUCAUAUUGUAUUUUCUUCUAAAUGAAUUUGGCAAUGUAGAAAUAGUGGUGUAUGUUUUACAAAGGUCUGAAUGCGUAAGCAAUAGAAGAACUCUUUUUUACUUGAUAAUAAUAAAACAUGCAUUCUCGCGAGGGGUGAAUGAAGGGCACAAGAUGUAAGGUGUAACUCAGAUGAGUAGCUAAUAAGAAAUCUUAUGCAGUUACGUCGAAGGUGGGAUGGGCUCUGUCUCCAUGGCUAUAGCCAAUGCUGCAAAGGAAGCGACGCCUGGUCAAUUGACUAAGAAGAAAUGGGACGCGUUAGUGAUCGGCGGCGGCCACAACGGUUUGGUAGCUGCAGCUUACCUAGCGCGCGGCGGUCUCUCCGUCGCAGUUCUCGAGCGACGCCACGUCAUCGGCGGGGCGGCAGUGACGGAGGAGAUCGUCCCCGGCUUCAAAUUCUCGCGUUGCAGUUACGUCCAGGGGCUAAUCCGUCCAUGCAUCAUCAGG
This 1844-nucleotide long non-coding RNA is filed under the name Brassica napus (rape). RNAcentral's name for it is "long non-coding RNA (BNAP_LNC000383)". Lineage: Eukaryota; Viridiplantae; Streptophyta; Magnoliopsida; Brassicales; Brassicaceae. The record is from RNAcentral.